CCAAUAGCGUAUAUUAAAGUUGUUGUGGUUAAAAAGCUCGUAGUUGAACCUUGGGCCUGGCUGGCCGGUCCGCCUCACCGCGUGUACUGGUCCGGCCGGGCCUUUCCCUCUGUGGAACCCCAUGCCCUUCACCGGGUGUGGCGGGGAAACAGGACUUUUACUGUGAAAAAAUUAGAGUGCUCCAGGCAGGCCUAUGCUCGAAUAAAUUAGCAUGGAAUAAUAGAAUAGGACGUGUGGUUCUAUUUUGUUGGUUUCUAGGACCGCCGUAAUGAUUAAUAGGGACAGUCGGGGGCAUCAGUAUUCAAUUGUCAGAGGUGAAAUUCUUGGAUUUAUUGAAGACUAACUACUGCGAAAGCAUUUGCCAAGGAUGUUUUCAUUAAUCAGGAACGAAAGUUAGGGGAUCGAAGACGAUCAGAUACCGUCGUAGUCUUAACCAUAAACUAUGCCGACUAGGGAUCGGACGGUGUUAUUUUUUGACCCGUUCGGCACCUUACG
RNAcentral lists this ribosomal RNA (495 nucleotides) under uncultured Glomeromycotina. RNAcentral's name for it is "partial small subunit ribosomal RNA". It matches the Rfam family "Eukaryotic small subunit ribosomal RNA", at positions 591 to 1092 of the family's 1831-position model. The record is from RNAcentral. Lineage: Eukaryota; Fungi; Glomeromycota.